GGACGAACGCUGGCGGCGUGCUUAACACAUGCAAGUCGAACGGAAAGGCCCUGCUUUUGUGGGGUGCUCGAGUGGCGAACGGGUGAGUAACACGUGAGUAACCUGCCCUUGACUUUGGGAUAACUUCAGGAAACUGGGGCUAAUACCGGAUAGGAGCUCCUGCUGCAUGGUGGGGGUUGGAAAGUUUCGGCGGUUGGGGAUGGACUCGCGGCUUAUCAGCUUGUUGGUGGGGUAGUGGCUUACCAAGGCUUUGACGGGUAGCCGGCCUGAGAGGGUGACCGGCCACAUUGGGACUGAGAUACGGCCCAGACUCCUACGGGAGGCAGCAGUGGGGAAUAUUGCACAAUGGGCGGAAGCCUGAUGCAGCAACGCCGCGUGCGGGAUGACGGCCUUCGGGUUGUAAACCGCUUUCGCCUGUGACGAAGCGUGAGUGACGGUAAUGGGUAAAGAAGCACCGGCUAACUACGUGCCAGCAGCCGCGGUGAUACGUAGGGUGCGAGCGUUGUCCGGAUUUAUUGGGCGUAAAGGGCUCGUAGGUGGUUGAUCGCGUCGGAAGUGUAAUCUUGGGGCUUAACCCUGAGCGUGCUUUCGAUACGGGUUGACUUGAGGAAGGUAGGGGAGAAUGGAAUUCCUGGUGGAGCGGUGGAAUGCGCAGAUAUCAGGAGGAACACCAGUGGCGAAGGCGGUUCUCUGGGCCUUUCCUGACGCUGAGGAGCGAAAGCGUGGGGAGCGAACAGGCUUAGAUACCCUGGUAGUCCACGCUGUAAACGGUGGGUACUAGGUGUGGGGUCCAUUCCACGGGUUCCGUGCCGUAGCUAACGCUUUAAGUACCCCGCCUGGGGAGUACGGCCGCAAGGCUAAAACUCAAAGGAAUUGACGGGGCCCCGCACAAGCGGCGGAGCAUGCGGAUUAAUUCGAUGCAACGCGUAGAACCUUACCUGGGUUUGACAUGGAUCGGGAGUGCUCAGAGAUGGGUGUGCCUCUUUUGGGGUCGGUUCACAGGUGGUGCAUGGCUGUCGUCAGCUCGUGUCGUGAGAUGUUGGGUUAAGUCCCGCAACGAGCGCAACCCUUGUUCACUGUUGCCAGCACGUUAUGGUGGGGACUCAGUGGAGACCGCCGGGGUCAACUCGGAGGAAGGUGGGGAUGACGUCAAGUCAUCAUGCCCCUUAUGUCCAGGGCUUCACGCAUGCUACAAUGGCUGGUACAGAGAGUGGCGAGCCUGUGAGGGUGAGCGAAUCUCGGAUAGUCGAUCUCAGUUCGGAUUGGGGUCUGCAACUCGACCUCAUGAAGUCGGAGUCGCUAGUAAUCGCAGAUCAGCAACGCUGCGGUGAAUACGUUCCCGGNGCU
Molecule: ribosomal RNA, 1347 nt
Filed under: uncultured bacterium
Lineage: Bacteria
Description: partial 16S ribosomal RNA
Rfam family: Bacterial small subunit ribosomal RNA
Source: RNAcentral